AUUCUGCACAAAUUUCAUUUGUGAUUAGCUAUAAAAAUGAGAGUUGAAGUUAAUCGGAAUUCCAAUAAUGGAGCCAAACCAGAAAAUUCUAGAAGUAUUUAAAGAGACCAACAUACUUAUGAAAUGAAGACAGGCACAAAAUGCUGGAGUAAGUCAGCGAGUCAGGCAGCAUCUCUGGAGAAAAUUAAAGGGUGAUGUUUCAGGUCGGGAUCCUUCAGUCUGAGAGCCAGGGGAAAGGGAAACGAGAGAUAUAGACGGUGAUAUAGAGCGAUGUCGAACAAAUGAAUGAACUAUAUGCAAAAAGUAGCGAUGAUGAAGGAAACGGGCAUCGUUAAGGGAAGGUGAAAACGAGUUAUAGGCAAUGAGACUCAACAGGACAACUUUGAAAGGAAUGUUUUCACUAUAAACUCGUCUUUCCCCAUUCAAUGGAGGCCUGACCUAUGUGCUUGUUUGAUUUAAAAAAAAACAAUAUAUAAAAUCAUAGAGUCAUACAGCUGGGAAAAAGGCACUUCUGUCCAGCUCAUCCUUGCCGACCAAGAUGCCCCAUCCAAUCUAGGAUGAUUACAAUUAUUUUGAUUUCUUGACAGAGCGUUUGCUGACAAUAGAUACAUAGCGUGUCGCAUCAUAUUACGAUUUAUCACGUUUUUGGAUGGUUUGUGGUAGUAUCAUUGGCAGCAUGAAGUCUUAUGUCCUGGAGUUCCCCUAUCAUCAAUACAGGACCAUAUUCGUUCUUCAGGAUUGUCAAGGAUUACUUGCAGUUAUGGAGCGUCCACGUAAAACUGUACAGUAAGAACAUAUUAAUUCUAAAAAGUCUUACCACCAACAGACAGAUGUUCUAUCGGAAAUCUUUUAUCCAUAAAAAUGCAAAACCAAGGAUCAACAUUGAGUUAACUGCCCAAAUGCAGAAGAAAUCUAAAGCAUAAUCUUCUAGACCAAUCGUAUGAGAAAUCAAACUUGGGAGCUUCCAGUCUCCACGGAUCUGCCACCUCCUUUACCAAGGCCUGAUUUGCAUUCUGGAUAUUUUAUGGAUGUUAAACCUGAUAGUGAAUGCAAUAAACACCAUGCACAAUCAAAAUAAAAGCUGAAUGGCAGUGACAUGCUGCCUGUUAAUAUUAAUGACUGUCAUCCUUUCAUUGAUAAUCACAGGGCAAUAGUUCGCACCAGUUAGUUCUAGAUUUCUCUGCUGUACGUCCAUUGUAUGUGGCGCUCCUUCCCAGCAUGUAUCUUGCUUACCAGCACUUCAACAUUUCCUUCUCGGAGGAAACUUCUCAUGUCUGUAUCUCGAAAUGGGAAUGUUUAUUUGUCAAGAAUCGAAUUUCAACUUUCUUGUGUGAUUGUAUCUUAAUGAUUGGAAGGAUCAACGUCCAACGUGCAGCUUAAUUGCUGAAAAGGGUGAUUUUGACCCGUUCUGGUAGUGUGUAGUAAAGAAAAUUGUGUGGCUUUCCCAGUAAUCUGGUGCUCUGAAACUAAACAGCAAAACCGCCUGCAAGGAAGUGCACAAUAUCCGUUAAAAAUAUAAUGCGGAAGACUAAUUACUUCAUAUCAAAAAGAGUGCCUUGCAAUCCAGCUUCUAGAUGAUAGUGGUUGGAGCAGAUGCUGCCAAGGAAACAGUGAAAAGUGAUGAUAGACACAAUAGACCUGAAGAAGAGUCUCGACCCGAAACUUCUCUCCAGAGAUGCUGCCUGGCCCGCUGAGUUACUCCAGCUUUUUGUGUCUAUCUUAGUAAAAAGUGAUGCAGCAUGAGAGAGGGCUGGUUGGGAAGAUUUGUAUGCUGUAUUGCACGUGUUAGUGGAAGGAAUGUGGAGGAGACCUAUCCACUAUUUAUAUAGAACUACCUUGAUAAAAAACAGUGGAAACAGAGCUGCAUAUGAAUGUGCUAUUAAGGAACCGGAUGUAAUAAUGCAAGACAUUGAAUUAUUUUGCCUACAGUAUAUGGUGAAGGUCAAUGAAAGCACUUUCAAAUGCCACAUCCUACUAUUAACCACGGACAAUACACAUUGAUACUUACCAAUAUCAUCAAUCGGGAUUCUAUCCUAACAUGUGGUUUACCCCAAAUUGCAUGGCUACAAGUCCCAAACUCGCACGUCACAAUUUUCACUACACUCGCUGCACAAUCACGAUAGCCACAUCACCCAAACAUCUUACAAAAUAUUUAAAGACACAUUUCCCUCUCCGAAGGGCAGGAUGAAGACAACAAGAACCUACUUAAGCAAAGUAAGAGCAUCACCAUGUUUUAGUCCCUAAGGAGGGGUAGUUGCUGGAUAACAAAGAGAUGACCAAUGCUAGAUUUUAAUUACUGAUGUGCUUUAAAACAUGAAAAAUGAUGCAGAUCCCCUGCUCUUUUCAAUAUCUCCUCUUUAAUCUAUACUCUUCAGAUUUGCAAACUGCCAACAGUAGAAAUGGACACCUCAAAUUUUCUCUCUGUUCCCUGCGCUACAAUUUAAAUCUUUUGGCUUUCUUAAGGUAAUGUUCUUUAAUAUGCUACCUAAAUUAAUGUUGUAGAACCUCAUCCUCUUUACUCAUGUUAUUGGUAUUGACAUUUAUCGCACCACUGGUUGUUCAAUCACCCCCUUCAGAAAGUCCUAUAACUUCUCUGAGACACCUGUGGCCUGGCACUGGAGAGGCAAACUAUCUGAGAGUGUUGCUCGCCAUCCACAAAUAUAUCAGCUAUUCUUCUCUUUCAAUCAAGUCCUGUAUCACUGUAACUCUUAUAGUCUUUUUCCUCCGCUGCAGUGCAGCAGAGCCAACCAUGUACCGCAAACUUGCCAUUUGCUGUUUUUCCUUGUCAACAGUGCUCAACACCGUAUACGAGGAUUAUGGCCACAAUGACUCCUGCACUACCUGUCCGAGGCCUUCAGUAGAGUUUUAGUGCCAAAGUGCCAUACCCGAGCAAGUGUUGAAACACAUGUCAUAUGUAAUAUUGGUUGUGAACAAUCAGACAAUAGACAAUAGGUGCAGGAGUAGGCCAUUCGGCCCUUCGAGCCAGCACCAACAUUCAAUGUGUUCAUGGCUGAUCAUCCACAAUCAGUAACCCGUUCCUGCCUUCUCUCCAUAGCCCUUAACUCCACUAUCCAUAAGAGCUCCAUCUAAGUCUCUCUUGAAAACAUCCAGAGAACCAGCCUCCAGCCUCUGUCUGAGGCAGAGAAUUCCACACACUCACAACUCUGUGUGUGAAAAUGUUUUUCCUCAUCUCCGUUCUAAAUGGCUUACUCCUUAUUCUUAAACUGUGGCCCCUGGUUCUGGACUUCCCCAACAUCGGGAACAUGUUUCCUGCCUCUAGCGUGUCCAAACCCUUAAUAAUCGUAUAUGUUUCCAUAAAAUCUCCUCUCAUCCUUCUAAAUUCAAGAGUGUACAAGCCCAGCUGUUCCAACUUAUCAACAUAUGACAGUCCCGCCAUCCUGGGAAUUAACCUCGUGAACCCAUGCUGCACUCCCUCAAUAGCAAGAAUGUCCGUCCUCAAGUUUGGAGACCAAAACUGCACACAAUACUCCAGGUGUGGUCUCACUCGUGCCCUGUACAACUGCAGAAGGACCUCUUUGUUCCUAUACUCAAAUCCUCUUGUUAUGAAGGCCAACUUGCCAUUUACUUUCUUCACUGCCUGCUGUACCUGCAAGCUUACUUUCAGUGACUGAUGAACAAGGACCCCCCAGAUCCCGUACUUCCCCUUUUCCCAACUUAACACCAUUUACAUAAUAAUCUGCAUUCCUGUUUUUGCCACCAAAAUGGAUAACCUCACAUUUAUCCACAUUAAACUGCAUCUGCCCAUUCACCCAACCUAUCCAAGUCGCCCUACAUCCUCAUAGCAUCCUCCUCACAGUUCACACUGCCACCCAGCUUUGUGUCAUCUGCAAAUUUGCUGAUGUUACUUUUAAUCCUUUCAUCCAAAUCAUUAAUGUAUAUUGUAAAUAGCUGUGGUGCCAGCACCGAGCCUUGCGGUACCCCACUAGUCACUGCCUGCCAUUCUGAAAGGGACCCGUUAAUUCCUACCCUUUGUUUCCUGUCUGCCAACCAAUUUUCUAUCCAAGUCAGCACCCUAUCCCCAAUACCAUGUGCUCGAAUUUUGCCCACUAAUCUCCUAUGUGGGACCUUCUCAAAUGUUUUCUGAAAGUCCAGGUAAACUACAUCCACUGCAAGGCUCUCCCUUGUCCAUUAUCCUAGUUACAUCCUCAAAAAAUUCCAGAAGAUUAGUCAAGCAAGAUUUCCCCUUUGUAAAUCCAUGCUGACUCGGACCGAUCCUGUUACUGCUCUCCAAAUGUGCCUCUAUUUCAUCUUUUAUUAUUGACUCCAGCGUAUUCCCAAUCACCAAUGUCAAGCUAACUGGUCUAUAAUUCUCUGUUUUCUCUUUGCCGCCCUUCUUAAAAAGUGGGACAACAUUAGUUAACCUCCAAUCCACAGGAACUGAUCCUGAAUCUAUAGAACAUUGGGAACAUGAUCACCAAUGCGUCCACAGUUUCUAGAGCCACUUCCUUAAGUACCCAGGGAUGCAGACCAUCAGGCCCUGGGGAUUUAUCAGCCUUCAGUCCCAUCAGUCUACCCAACACAAUUUACUGCCUAAUGUGAAUCUCCUUCAGUUCCUCUACACCCUAGAUCCUCUGGUUACUAGUACAUCAGGAAGAUUGUGUCCUCCUUAGUGAAGACAGAUCCAAAGUACCUGUUCGUCUGCCAUUUCCUUGUUCCUCAUAAUAAAUUCCCCUUUUCAGUCUUCAAGGGUCUAACUUUGGCCUUAACUAGUUUUUCCUCUUCACAUACCCAAAGAAACAUUUACUAUCCUCCUUUAUAUUCUUGUCUAGCUUACCCUUCGUACCUCAUUUUAUCUCUAUGUAUUGUCUUUUUAGUUAUCUUCUGUUGCUCUUUAAAAGUUACCCAAUCCUCUGGCUUCCCACUCAUCUUUGCUACGUUAUAUUUCUUCUUUUUUAUUUUUAUACUCUCCCUGAUUUCCCUUGCCACCCUUACUCCCCUUGGAAUAUUUAUUCUUCUUUGGAAUGAACUGAUCCUGCACCUUCUGUAUUAUUCCCAGAAAUACCUGCCAUUGUUGUUCCACUGUCAUUCCUCUUUCCAGUCAACUUUGGCUAGCUCCUCCCUCAUGGCUCCAUAGUCCCCAUUGCUCAAUACCGACACCUCCGAUUUACCCUUCUCCCGCUCAAAUUGUAGAUUAAAACUUAUCAUAUUAUGGCCACUACCUCCUGAUGGUUCCUUUACCUCGAGUUCCUUUAUCAAAUCCAGUUCAUUGCACAACACUAAAUCCAGAAUUCCAGUGCAAGCUGCUCUAAGAAUCCAUCACAGAGGCACUCCACAAACUCACUUUGUUGGGGUCCAGUUACAACCUGAUUUUCCCAGUCUACCCGCAUGUUGAAAUCUCCCAUAACAACCAUAGUAUUACCUUUGCGACAUGCCAAUUUUAACUCUUGAUUCAACUUGCACCCUAUAUCCAGGCUACUGUUUGGGGGCCUGUAGAUAACUCCCAUUAGGGUCUUCUUAACAUUACAAUUCCUCAGUUCUAUUCAUACUGACUUCACAUCUCCUGAUUCUGGGUCACCCCUUGAUAUCUUGAGGCUUUACCACUUCAAGGAUUAUAUCACGUGACUGCUGUGGGUUGCAACUUUGCAGGACGUGGAAUUCUUCAGCUGUAUGUCUCCGGGGAACCAAGCCUUAGUAAGAAAUUAUUGUCUUGACACUGUAAGCUUUAAUUUUAUUUUUUAAUAAAGUACCCUUGAUGUUAAUUUGAAUUGCUGACUCUUUUUCAAGUAUCUAAGGAGAUGUGCUGUUGAAAAUGCAGGUUGAUGGAUACUGGAGCUGAUACUAAAGAUCAGACAUGAUCCCUCACAAUUGGGUUAAUGUGGAAAUACAUGGAGUGAUAGUAAGUUGUAGUAUUUAAUUGAGAUAGUACAUGGUGGAAUAAAUAAAGAUACCCGAGCCAGUAAGUAAGCAAUGUGCUUAAAGAAUGAACAACAAUGAUAGAAAAUGUUUACAUUCAGUCUGAAGAAGAGUCUUAACCCAAAGUGCCACCCAUUCCUUCUCUCCAGAGAUGCUGCCUGAGUUACUCCAGCAUUUUGUGUCUACCUUCAAUUUCUGCAUCUGCAGAUCUUUCCUACACAUGUUUACAUAGUGUUUAGUUUUAGU
This is a long non-coding RNA of Leucoraja erinaceus (little skate), 6120 nucleotides long. RefSeq lists it as uncharacterized. The transcript is spliced from 3 exons. The record is from RefSeq and is a predicted model, not a curated record. NCBI's taxonomy places the organism in Eukaryota, Metazoa, Chordata, Chondrichthyes, Rajiformes, Rajidae.